This 471-nucleotide ribosomal RNA is filed under the name uncultured bacterium. RNAcentral describes it as "bacterial SSU rRNA". It matches the Rfam family "Bacterial small subunit ribosomal RNA", at positions 29 to 490 of the family's 1533-position model. The record is from RNAcentral.
AUUGAACGCUGGCGGCAUGCCUUACACAUGCAAGUCGAACGGCAGCGCGGGAGCAAUCCUGGCGGCGAGUGGCGAACGGGUGAGUAAUAUAUCGGAACGUGCCCAGUAGUGGGGGAUAGCCCGGCGAAAGCCGGAUUAAUACCGCAUGAGACCUGAGGGUGAAAGCGGGGGACCGUAAGGCCUCGCGCGAUUGGAGCGGCCGAUGUCGGAUUAGCUAGUUGGUAGGGUAAAGGCCUACCAAGGCGACGAUCCGUAGCGGGUCUGAGAGGAUGAUCCGCCACACUGGGACUGAGACACGGCCCAGACUCCUACGGGAGGCAGCAGUGGGGAAUUUUGGACAAUGGGCGAAAGCCUGAUCCAGCCAUGCCGCGUGAGUGAAGAAGGCCUGGUGUAAGACGUCUUUCUAGCCGGAAACGGAAAUACGCGCAGGAGUAAUAACUCUGCGUGGAGUGACGGUACCGGAAGAAGAAG